RNAcentral lists this ribosomal RNA (460 nucleotides) under uncultured bacterium. RNAcentral's name for it is "bacterial SSU rRNA". It matches the Rfam family "Bacterial small subunit ribosomal RNA", at positions 29 to 534 of the family's 1533-position model. The record is from RNAcentral.
AACGAACGCUGGCGGCAUGCCUAACACAUGCAAGUCGAACGAGACCUUCGGGUCUAGUGGCGCACGGGUGCGUAACGCGUGGGAAUCUGCCCUUGGGUUCGGAAUAACUUCGGGAAACUGAAGCUAAUACCGGAUGAUGACGUAAGUCCAAAGAUUUAUCGCCCAAGGAUGAGCCCGCGUAGGAUUAGCUAGUUGGUGAGGUAAAGGCUCACCAAGGCGACGAUCCUUAGCUGGUCUGAGAGGAUGAUCAGCCACACUGGGACUGAGACACGGCCCAGACUCCUACGGGAGGCAGCAGUGGGGAAUAUUGGACAAUGGGCGAAAGCCUGAUCCAGCAAUGCCGCGUGAGUGAUGAAGGCCUUAGGGUUGUAAAGCUCUUUUACCAGGGAUGAUAAUGACAGUACCUGGAGAAUAAGCUCCGGCUAACUCCGUGCCAGCAGCCGCGGUAAUGUGACUACUG